AUACGGAAGGUCCGGGCGUUAUCCGGAUUUAUUGGGUUUAAAGGGAGCGCAGGCGGAGAUGCAAGCGUGACGUCAAAUUUCGGGGCUCAACCCCGUCUCACGUCGCGAACUGCGUCCCUUGGUUGCGGGAAGGGGAGGCGGAACUCGUGGUGUAGCGGUGAAAUGCAUAGAUAUCACGAAGAACUCCGAUCGCGAAGGCAGCCUUCCGGCCCGUCAACGACGCUCAUGCUCGAAGGUGCGGGUAUCAAACAGGAUUAGAUACCCUGGUAGUCCGCACAGUAAACGAUGGACACCCGCGGUUUGGCCUGUAUGGCUGAGCCGCCAAGCGAAAGCGUUAAGUGUCCCACCUGGGGAGUACGCCGGCAACGGUGAAACUCAAAGGAAUUGGCGGGG
This 393-nucleotide ribosomal RNA is filed under the name uncultured bacterium. Its description in RNAcentral is "partial 16S ribosomal RNA". It matches the Rfam family "Bacterial small subunit ribosomal RNA", at positions 523 to 918 of the family's 1533-position model. The record is from RNAcentral.